AUUGAACGCUGGCGGCAGGCCUAACACAUGCAAGUCGAGCGGAUGAAGGGAGCUUGCUCCUGGAUUCAGCGGCGGACGGGUGAGUAAUGCCUAGGAAUCUGCCUGGUAGUGGGGGAUAACGUCCGGAAACGGGCGCUAAUACCGCAUACGUCCUGAGGGAGAAAGUGGGGGAUCUUCGGACCUCACGCUAUCAGAUGAGCCUAGGUCGGAUUAGCUAGUUGGUGGGGUAAAGGCCUACCAAGGCGACGAUCCGUAACUGGUCUGAGAGGAUGAUCAGUCACACUGGAACUGAGACACGGUCCAGACUCCUACGGGAGGCAGCAGUGGGGAAUAUUGGACAAUGGGCGAAAGCCUGAUCCAGCCAUGCCGCGGGUGUGAAGAAGGUCUUCGGAUUGUAAAGCACUUUAAGUUGGGAGGAAGGGCAGUAAGUUAAUACCGUGCUGUUUUGACGUUACCAACAGAAUAAGCACCGGCUAACUUCGUGC
Molecule: ribosomal RNA, 485 nt
Filed under: uncultured bacterium
Lineage: Bacteria
Description: partial 16S ribosomal RNA
Rfam family: Bacterial small subunit ribosomal RNA
Source: RNAcentral